This 229-nucleotide unclassified non-coding RNA is filed under the name plant metagenome. Its description in RNAcentral is "partial contains small subunit ribosomal RNA, internal transcribed spacer 1, and 5.8S ribosomal RNA". The stretch from base 1 to 55 matches the Rfam family "Eukaryotic small subunit ribosomal RNA", at positions 1778 to 1831 of the family's 1831-position model. The record is from RNAcentral.
GGAAGUAAAAAGUCGUAACAAGGUUUCCGUAGGUGAACCUGCGGAAGGAUCAUUCAUAAUAAGUGUUUUAUGGCACUUUUUAAAUCCAUAUCCACCUUGUGUGCAAUGUCAGUCGUUCUCUUCUAUGGGAACGACCAAACAUCAACCAACUCUUUAACUCUUUGUCUGAAAAAUAUUACGAAUAAAAUAAUUCAAAAUACAACUUUCAACAACGGAUCUCUUGGCUCUC